GGGGGAUUUCCCGAGCGGUCAAAGGGGACAGACUGUAAAUCUGCUGUCUACGACUUCGGUGGUUCGAAUCCACCAUCCCCCACCA
This 85-nucleotide transfer RNA is filed under the name Oscillospiraceae bacterium. RNAcentral describes it as "tRNA-Tyr". It matches the Rfam family "tRNA". Rfam says of the family: Transfer RNA (tRNA) molecules are approximately 80 nucleotides in length. Their secondary structure includes four short double-helical elements and three loops (D, anti-codon, and T loops). Further hydrogen bonds mediate the characteristic L-shaped molecular structure. tRNAs have two regions of fundamental functional importance: the anti-codon, which is responsible for specific mRNA codon recognition, and the 3' end, to which the tRNAs corresponding amino acid is attached (by aminoacyl-tRNA synthetases). tRNAs cope with the degeneracy of the genetic code in two manners: having more than one tRNA (with a specific anti-codon) for a particular amino acid; and 'wobble' base-pairing, i.e. permitting non-standard base-pairing at the 3rd anti-codon position. The record is from RNAcentral. Lineage: Bacteria; Bacillati; Bacillota; Clostridia; Eubacteriales; Oscillospiraceae.